Molecule: ribosomal RNA, 253 nt
Filed under: uncultured bacterium
Lineage: Bacteria
Description: partial 16S ribosomal RNA
Rfam family: Bacterial small subunit ribosomal RNA
Source: RNAcentral
UACGAAGGGGGCUAGCGUUGCUCGGAAUCACUGGGCGUAAAGCGCACGUAGGCGGAUUUUUAAGUCAGGGGUGAAAUCCUGGAGCUCAACUCCAGAACUGCCUUUGAUACUGGAAAUCUCGAGUCCGGAAGAGGUGAGUGGAACUGCGAGUGUAGAGGUGAAAUUCGUAGAUAUUAGGAAGAACACCGGUGGCGAAGGCGGCCCACUGGUCCGGUACUGACGCUGAGGUGCGAAAGCGUGGGGAGCGAACAGG